AAGUCGUAACAAGGUAACCGUAGGUGAACCUGCGGUUGGAUCAUUAUUGAUACAACGGUCUUGGAGUCCUCUUCGGAGUUGAUUCCUCGACCUUACCCACCCCAUGUGCAUUGUAAACGUAUUUUGGGACUCUUACUUGCUAAGAGUCCCAGCAGUAUAAACACUUUUUAAUUUGUCUGAAAUGAAAGCAAGAAUCGUAACAACUUUUGACAACGGAUCUCUUGGCUCUCGCAACGAUGAAGAACGCAGCGAAAUGCGAUACGUGAUGUGAAUUGCAGAAUCUCGUGAAUCAUCUAAUCUUUGAACGCACAUUGCACUCUAGCUUGCUAGAGUAUGCCUGUUUGAGAAUCUAAUGUAUUCAUUUCCCUUUGUGCUUACAUUAGUGAGUGCAGAGAGAAGAUCUGGGGCAGCUUUUUUAAGUGCCCUGAAUUUCAUUAGUCUACACCUAGUUGCGUAAUGACGGCCUGCAAGGCUGCCGAAAGGUAUAUGUAUGGAACCCUGGUUUCUUAUUGUGCCCGGUAAGUAGCAGUAGCGCCCAGUGCAGCAAAGUGUGGAUCCACCACAGAGAUAUUAUCACUCGAUAAUGUCUGAACCAUGGUCUCAAAUCAGGUAGGACUACCCGCUGAACUUAAGCAUAUCAAUAAGCGGAGGAAAAGAAACUAACAAGGAUUCCCCUAGUAACGGCGAGUGAAGCGGGAAUAGCUCAAAUUUGGAAUCUCUCCGGAGAAUUGUAGUUUAGAGAAGCGUUUUCGGGGUAGCCCUGUGGUACAAGUCCUUUGGAACAAGGCAUCAUAGAGGGUGAAAAUCCCGUCUUUGACCAUGGGCGCUACUCCAUAUGAUGCGUUUUCCAAGAGUCGGUUUGUUUGGGAAUGCAGACCAAAAUGGGUGGUAAAUACCAUCUAAAGCUAAAUAUUGGCGAGAGACCGAUAGCGAACAAGUACCGUGAGGGAAAGAUGAAAAGAACUUUGAAAAGAGAGUUAAAUAGUACGUGAAAUUGUCAAAAGGGAAACGUUUGGAACCAGUAUUGUAUGUGCGAAUUUAGCUGUGAUUUAUUGCAGUGUCCUUUUGCACAACAGGUCAACCUCAGUUUGGAUCGCGGUAAAAUGCCAGCAGAAGGUGUCCCUGCGGGGAGUUAUUAGCUGCUGGUUCUGCCGCGGACUGGACUGAGGACAGCGGCUUGCCGAGGAUGUUGACGAAAUGGUUCCAAGCGACC
RNAcentral lists this ribosomal RNA (1213 nucleotides) under uncultured fungus. Its description in RNAcentral is "eukaryotic LSU rRNA". The stretch from base 596 to 1213 matches the Rfam family "Eukaryotic large subunit ribosomal RNA", at positions 1 to 649 of the family's 3401-position model. The record is from RNAcentral. Lineage: Eukaryota; Fungi.